UACGUAGGGUGCAAGCGUUAAUCGGAAUUACUGGGCGUAAAGCGUGCGCAGGCGGUUUUGUAAGUCUGUCGUGAAAUCCCCGGGCUUAACCUGGGAACUGCAUUUGUGACUGGCAAGCUAGAGUAUGGCAGAGGGGGGGUAGAAUUCCACGUGUAGCAGUGAAAUGCGUAGAGAUGUGGAGGAAUACCGAUGGCGAAGGCAGCCCCCUGGGCCAAUACUGACGCUCAUGCA
This 231-nucleotide ribosomal RNA is filed under the name uncultured bacterium. RNAcentral describes it as "partial 16S ribosomal RNA". It matches the Rfam family "Bacterial small subunit ribosomal RNA", at positions 524 to 753 of the family's 1533-position model. The record is from RNAcentral.